AUUCCUCCUUCAUAACUUGCUUCCAAGAGCUUCCCCGUGAUCUCGGCCUAUUGUGAUCUCUUCUUUCCACCAGGUUCAUGACAUGAAAAGCCCCGGUUGCUCGCCUCAAGGAGCUGGCAGUGGAACUAGGGACACCGGUAAACAGAUAAAUCACAGUCGAAAAAUGAAUGCAACCACCAAGAUAUGAAUUGAGUGGAAACGAACAAUUUCCUAUGGGAAAACAGAACAAAGAAGCCUGCUUGCGAGAGUCUAAGAAGUCUGCCCAGCCAGUCAGGGAUAUCUGAGGAACAGGGAGAAGAAUAAUUGACGUCGGGGCUUGGCUUUAUGGUCUUUACAGCUGUGAUCGGAUUAGAAGAAAGGCUGACAAAAGUGUUGUUUCCAUCCGCCUUUUACAAUCGGAGAGAAUGAAUGAGCUGCUUUCCAGUUUUCUGUUCCAAGUAUUAACUGGAUUCCCACUUCACUUUGCUUCCGUGAUUUCUCCUCUGCUUAUGUUAGCUUCCGUCUCACACGAUAUGUACAUAGCCCCAUCUCUGCCGAGCAAAUCAGAGGCUGAGCUCUGGGCUGUGGACAGUGUCAGUGACAACAAGGGUGAGUCGUCCUCAGAUGAAUCAUCAGGUGUGGGAAAUGCGUUUGAGACACUCAAAAUAACUGGGGACUGAUGGGUGGCGGGGGGGGGCUUAAUAAAUACAAGCCUGCGAGACCUAACUUCUACACGUCUUCAGAAGGCUGAGUUGCUUUGAGAGGGAGAUACAGAAGAUGACAAUUUGCUGCCAGUGGCUGGUCCCAGACAAGGAGCUGUGACUAAACAGGAAAUCAGUUACUUAGCAGUUGAGCGGAUGUUUGAGUGUUCAAAGCACAGGCACAAUAGCUAUACUCUGAUAUGUCCUGUAAAGUUAAAAACAAAGCCAGGUUAACCCUGACAGAUGCACCCAAGACUGAUACACUUAGGUACUACCUGGUUGCAUCGCCUGGGGAUCUUAAUACUCUGUGAAUCAUUAUGAAUUAUAAUAUUUAAAGCUGUUGUUUAUUUGGUAUUUAUUGGGUGUCAUAAUGUUCCCAGUGCUACACAGGCGUAAUUUUUAAACCACCCCAAAAGUCCUGCAAGAGGUUAGGCGUGAUGGCUCACGUCUGUAAUCCUAGCACUUUGGGAGGCUGAGGUGGGCAGAUUUCUUGAGCCCAGGAGUUAAGAGACCAGCCUGGGUAACAUGGCAAGACCCCUAUCCCUAUAAAAAAAAUUUUUUUUCAAAAAAAAAAUCAGCCAGGCAUGACGGUGCAUGCCUGUAGUCCCAGCUACUUGGGAGACUAAGGUGGGAGGAUUACCCAAGCUUGGAGAGGUAGAGACUGCAGUGAGCCAUGAUGGCACCACUGCACUCCAGCCUGGGCAAUGGAGUGAGACCCUGUCUCAAAUAAAUAAAUAAAUAAAUAAAUAAAUAAAUAAAUAAAUAAAUAAAUAAAAAGUCUUGCAAGAGAAAACAUCUCCAUUUUUCAAAAGGAAGUUACAGAGGUUGAGUAAUUUGCCUGAUUUCACUAAGUUGGUCAUAACAGAGUUUGGAUUCAAACCCAGAGCAAACGAAGGCUUAGAGGGACUAGCAACUUUUCCUUUUGAGGUCUAGAUGAUCUUACUUUUUGUUAUUAGGGGUCAAGGCCAGGAUUAGAAGGAGACAAGUGAGGUUGCGUUUGCCAGUGCGGGGUUAGAGCCUGUCUUUAGCAUUUUGAUAUUUUGUUCAUUGUAGAGUAUUGUGCAUUAAUUUUUAUUUUUUAAAAAUAUUGCAUCAAAAUAUUAUUUACCCUGAUUUUUAGUUUUUUGGUGCCAUCUUAAAUUUUGAGCCCAAGGGCUAGUGUUUUACUAGCCUCACUAUUCUCUAGGCUUUGCUCAAGGCUACAGACAAUCUGUGAUCACCUGAAUUAAGCCAACAGACAGUUCUCAUUUCAGACAGACUUUUCAUCUUCCUCCUGCCUACCUCAUACAUUUUACAUCCCAAAUUACUGCCUACUGGGAAAGAAGGUUUUGGGUUUGUUUUAACUUGUUUGUUUGCUUUUUUGUUUGUUUGUUUGUUUUUCUUUAUCUUUUUCCUUGAUUCAUCACCGGCUGAGAUACAUACUAUAUAAACAAGAAAUGUGGCAAAAGGUGGUAUAUCAAGAAACGGGAUGCCAAAAAUUUCACACAAUCCGUGAACACAUUUAAGCAUACUUAAAAAAGAAAUGUCCAUCUCAUCAACAAAAAAUAAGUAUGUAAGGUGAGAGAUAUGUUAAUUAGCUUAACAUAAUAAUUCAACAAUGUAUUCACAUAUCAAAAUAUCACCUGGUAUAUUAUAAAUAUAUAUAAUUUUUCAUUUUUCAAUAAAUGAAUGAGUGAAAUGUGGAAGAGUAAUGUCAGGCCCCCGCCCAAGGCUGGAGAACAUAUCUUUUUCUAUGAGAAAUUUUCUUCCAUAAUUGUCAGAUCUUCAAACAUCUGCUUCACAGAAGUGUCUCAGAGCCCUAUCACAGAUACAAGAUUAAAUAAAUACCAUAAGCUGAGGCUGUGGGUUGUCACUGGCAGCUGGAGGGACAAAAGUCAUCUUUUUAUUCCUAACCUUUUGUUUCUGCAAAUGUAGUCUAUUAUGACAUGCACAGGUAUUAGGAGGGUGACGGCCAUGCCAAUAGCAAACACAGCUGUUUUGAAUCCUAUUCUGUAUUUUUUAUUAACUAAAUACAGUGCUUGGUAAAAUAAAAUAAAAUCAACAUUAGGAGGCUCAUCAAUUACACAGGAGAGAAAUGGUUACAUAGAAAUUGACAUCAUCCAGGUAAUAUAUGCCUAAUCAAUUUCCUAAGCAAAUCAGAUGCUUCUGGGCUGAAUUAAAGAAACACCUUUAAUUAAUUCAGCACCUACUGUGUGUCCGAAACCAACCAGAAACUUGUGGCCCAGGUUUCCUAGGAGAAACUGAUGACCAAUAAGCUACUGCCAUUUGGACCUGUAUUUUGUGGAGAGUGCAGGUCAUUUUUUUAAUUUAAAAAAGUGCUCAAUUGCAGUCCCUUUCUACAGGACAGGCCAAGGGAAACGGAUGGGAGCAAAGCAGGUGGAUCUCUGGCAGGAUUACAAUCAAAUUAAAUGCGCAUGGCCUGGAGUUUUCUUUUCAGCACUUUCAACUCAGAAUAGUAGCCGUAAGUCAGCAGCAGUACUGCUUUUUGUUGCUGGGGCAGAGUAUUAUACCUCAGGGUUGCUUCUUCAGUUCUAAUUUGACCUAAUGAACAUUUAAAAGAGAGGAAGGAAAAGUUACUUCUGAGUCCAGAAAACUGGAUGGUAAAAGAUCAUAUUCUAAAAUUCACACAUUCUGUGCAUUAGAAAGUCACUUAGGCCCAGCUGGGCACGGUGGCUCACGCCUGUAAUCCCAACACUUUAGGAGGCCGAGGCAGGCAGAUUACUUGAGGCCAGGAGUUCAAGACCAGCUUGGCCAACAUGGUGAAACCCUGUCUGUACUAAAAAUACAAAAAUUAGCCAGGCAUGGUGACAGGUGCCUGUAAUCCCAGCUACUGGGGAGGCUGAGGCAGGAGAAUCUCUUGAACCCAGGAGGCAGAGGUUGCAGUAGCGGAGAUCACACCACUGCACUCCAGCCUGGGCGAUAGAGCGAGACUCUGUCUCAGAAAAAAAAAAAAA
Molecule: long non-coding RNA, 3634 nt
Organism: Homo sapiens (human)
Lineage: Eukaryota; Metazoa; Chordata; Mammalia; Primates; Hominidae
Exons: 3
Source: RefSeq, a predicted model, not a curated record